This 274-nucleotide ribosomal RNA is filed under the name uncultured bacterium. RNAcentral's name for it is "partial 16S ribosomal RNA". It matches the Rfam family "Bacterial small subunit ribosomal RNA", at positions 523 to 796 of the family's 1533-position model. The record is from RNAcentral.
AUACGGAGGGUGCGAGCGUUAAUCGGAAUUACUGGGCGUAAAGCGCGCGUAGGUGGCUUGUUAAGUCAGAUGUGAAAGCCCCGGGCUCAACCUGGGAAUUGCAUUUGAAACUGGCAGGCUAGAGUAUGGUAGAGGGUAGUGGAAUUCCGGGUGUAGCGGUGAAAUGCGUAGAUAUCCGGAGGAACACCAGUGGCGAAGGCGGCUACCUGGACCAAUACUGACGCUGAGGUGCGAAAGCGUGGGGAGCAAACAGGAUUAGAUACCCCAGUAGUCC